UACGUAGGUGGUUUGUUAAGUUGGAUGUGAAAGCCCAGGGCACAACCUUGGAACUGCAUUCAAAACUGGCGAACUAGAGUAUGGUAGAGGUGAGUGGAAUUUCCUGUGUAGCGGUGAAAUGCGUAGAGAUGGGAAGGAACAUCAGUGGCGAAGGCGACUCACUGGACCAAUACUGACACUGAGGUACGAAAGCGUGGGUAGCAAACAGGAUUAGAUACCCUGGUAGUCCACGCCGUAAACGAUGUCUACUAGCCGUUGGGGUCCUUGAGACUUUAGUGGCGCAGCUAACGCACUAAGUAGACCGCCUGGGGAGUACGGUCGCAAGAUUAAAACUCAAAUGAAUUGACGGGGGCCCGCACAAGCGGUGGAGCAUGUGGUUUAAUUCGAAGCAACGCGAAGAACCUUACCUACUCUUGACAUCCAGAGAAUUUAGCAGAGAUGCUUUAGUGCCUUCGGGAACUCUGAGACAGGUGCUGCAUGGCUGUCGUCAGCUCGUGUUGUGAAAUGUUGGGUUAAGUCCCGUAACGAGCGCAACCCUUGUCCUUAGUUACUAACAUUAAGUUGAGAACUCUAAGGAGACUGCCGGUGACAAACCGGAGGAAGGCGGGGACGACGUCAAGUCAUCAUGGCCCUUACGAGUAGGGCUACACACGUGCUACAAUGGCCAGUACAAAGGGUUGCCAAGCCGCGAGGUGGAGCUAAUCCCAGAAAGCUGGUCGUAGUCCGGAUCGGAGUCUGCAACUCGACUCCGUGAAGUCGGAAUCGCUAGUAAUCGUGAAUCAGAAUGUCACGGUGAAUACGUUCCCGGGCCUUGUACACACCGCCCGUCACACCAUGGGAGUGGGUUGCUCCGAAGUAGAUAGCUUAACCUUCGGGAGGGCGUUUACCACGGAGUAAUUCAUGACUGGGGGUGAAGUCGUAACAAGGUAAAUCACUA
This 937-nucleotide ribosomal RNA is filed under the name uncultured bacterium. Its description in RNAcentral is "bacterial SSU rRNA". It matches the Rfam family "Bacterial small subunit ribosomal RNA", at positions 568 to 1533 of the family's 1533-position model. The record is from RNAcentral.